This 253-nucleotide ribosomal RNA is filed under the name uncultured bacterium. RNAcentral describes it as "partial 16S ribosomal RNA". It matches the Rfam family "Bacterial small subunit ribosomal RNA", at positions 524 to 776 of the family's 1533-position model. The record is from RNAcentral.
GACAGAGGGUGCAAACGUUGUUCGGCAUUACUGGGCGUAAAGCGCGUGUAGGCGGCUUGGCAAGUCGGGUGUGAAAGCCCCGGGCUCAACCUGGGAAGUGCACUCGAAACUGCUUGGCUUGAGUACUGGAGAGGGAAGCGGAAUUCUCGGUGUAGAGGUGAAAUUCGUAGAUAUCGAGAGGAACACCGGUGGCGAAGGCGGCUUCCUGGACAGUGACUGACGCUGAGACGCGAAAGCGUGGGGAGCAAACAGG